UGACAGAUGGUUUUACUAGGUGGUAGAGGCGAAUUGUUAUUUAAAGGAGUUCACAGGCCAAGUUAGCCGGCGGGUGGCGAAUCAGUUCUUGCGAUAAGGUAACGAUCACGUCGACUGGAGGACUGGAGUUUAGAACUCGUACUUACCUAACACUUACUCGGUCUUGACUGACUGACCUAGCAUCGAUGCUCUGUCUUGGAAUGGACGUAGAUACAGUAUUACUUACCAUGAGACUAGAACAAGUAUAACAAACAGCCAAGAACCAAAAGGACACACAGAUUAAGUAUAAUCUGAUCAUCUUCAGUAGGCGAAGUAGAAUUGUUGCAACAAAUCUUUGUACAAACAAAUCGAGAUUAUUCUCAAGAGCAUUAUCUGACUAUCCUUCAGCAGACUCCGCACCCUCGAGGAAACAGAACAUGGGCUCCAAUCAUCAGUUUUGGAUCUUGGUCUUUUGUAUAAUCCUACUUCUUCCUGUCUACUCAGCCUACAGUCUACAAGAAAGUGAUGUAGCUACAUAUAAAGACAAAAGACAGUCGCAGAUUCUGACUACUGACUGUGGGUCACUGACGCCAAGGCGCUGCCGGGCAAUACGCUUGAGAAUGUGUGUGGAUAUCUGCGUGGAUAGCUACAUGGUGUUCGUGUGCAGGAGGAGGUCAGGCUGCAGCAUAAUAAGAGAUAGUGAUUAGUGCCCUAGUUCUUCUCGCCUACAUUAACUCUUUCAGCCUGCUGCUAAAAUAGCAAUGGAUGCGGGCCAAAAUGGCUACCAGUUUUUGUUUACAAUAGGGUUAUGGAAAUAUUUUUUAUCUCAUAAACGGUACAUCACAGAUAAAUAAAGUUAUAUAUCAAAUUAAAGCAAAGAUCUUCACCAACACAACUUUUUAAAUCUUUUUGUAGUUUAUUUAAUUUGUAUAGAUGAUUUUACAGGUUGAAUAGGAUGGAAGAAAAUAAAAGAGUAAAAAAAUAUUUUUUGUCUAGGUUUGUUAUACAUAAAAUAUGUAUAAAAUUGCUUGAAAAGAGUAUAUUUUGUACUCUUUUUAAAGUAAAUUUAUUUUGAUAAACAUAAAUUAAGUUUUUUUUUCCUAAUUUCUUGCUUAUUUAUUUUAAUUAAUUUUUUUUUCUAAAUCGCAUAAAUUUUAAUUAAACUACUUUUUUUUUCCAUAUCUAUUAUAAAAUAACUUUUUUUUAUUUCUUUAUUAUUACAGUCACCACAAAUUAUAUAUCAAACUACAUAGAUAUGCAUAAGAAUUCAUUUUUACCCUUUCAUUAUUCUCUUACAUGUAAAUAAUUUGUAAUUUCAUGUCUUAUAUCAUAGUCAAUUUUUUUUCGCAGAUUUUUUUUCUUUGCAAUAACAUCAAUAUAUACUCUUUAUUUUUUUGUAUUGACCAUUUUGACUAAAUACUUUUUAUUAAUUAGAAAGAAGAUUUAUUUCUGAAUAAUUUGAUAUACAACACUUCAACAUGCAGUGAAGAUUAUAAAACAGAUAUUACUUUAGACGCGUAGAGUUUUAAAUCCAAUUGGAAAUCAUUUUUGGCAGAAAACAAUAUCCAGUUAAAUGGGAAUAAUAUUUACUUUUUACACACACACACAUAUAUGUAUAUAUAUAUACAUUUAUUUACAUAACAUUGAUGCCACUGCCACUACUCGAAUGCUAUUGUUUUGCCAGAUCCUCAUGGUAUAGACGAAAACAAUGUUUCACACAGAGCCGAGGUUGCGACGGGCAACCCGAGCAUAAGAAUCUAGUGCGCUUCCGUUGUGAUUGACUCUUGCUAUAGACACAAGGGCGAUCAUUCUCUUCAUAAUGAACAAGAUGAGGCCCAGGUGCUAUUUUGCUAUCAGCUUUAACAGUCUUCACUUUCACCUGUCUGGGAACAUCACCCAGUGCAGUGGCAGCAUUAACUAAACCAUGAAUUACAGUUUCUUUAAAUUUUGUUAAAGAAAGCUUUUUUGAAGGCUGGUCACAUGUAACCUUGUGUGGCAUUAUAAAUGAUGAGGGCAUUAAUCUGUGCAAUUUCUAAUAUCCAGUAGAAGACUUUCUUCCACCAUUUCAUGCUUUUUCUAGAAUGCACAGAAUAAUAAGAGAGCAUUUGGUCUGCCCUGUCGCAACCAUUCAUCAUCCUAUUGUAGUCGUGAACCAUUCAUCAUCCUAUUGUAGUCGUGAACCAUUCAUCAUCCUAUUGUAGUCGUGAACCAUUCAUCAUCCUAUUGUAGUCGUGAACCAUUCAUCAUCCUAUUGUAGUCGUGAACCAUUCAUCAUCCUAUUGUAGUCGUGAACCAUUCAUCAUCCUAUUGUAGUCGUGAACCAUUCAUCAUCCUAUUGUAGUCGUGAACCAUUCAUCAUCCUAUUGUAGUCGUGAACCAUUCAUCAUCCUAUUGUAGUCGUGAACCAUUCAUCAUCCUAUUGUAGUCGUGAACCAUUCAUCAUCCUAUUGUAGUCGUGAACCAUUCAUCAUCCUAUUGUAGUCGUGAACCAUUCAUCAUCCUAUUGUAGUCGUGAACCAUUCAUCAUCCUAUUGUAGUCGUGAACCAUUCAUCAUCCUAUUGUAGUCGUGAACCAUUCAUCAUCCUAUUGUAGUCGUGAACCAUUCAUCAUCCUAUUGUAGUCGUGAACCAUUCAUCAUCCUAUUGUAGUCGUGAACCAUUCAUCAUCCUAUUGUAGUCGUGAACCAUUCAUCAUCCUGUUGUAGUCGUGAACCAUUCAUCAUCCUAUUGUAGUCGUGAACCAUUCAUCAUCCUAUUGUAGUCGUGAACCAUUCAUCAUCCUAUUGUAGUCGUGAACCAUUUCUGGCUUCUCGACAACACUGCGCUUCUGUUGCACAUUCAUGAUGCGAUUGGUGGAUUUUGUGGACACCAUAAUGCAAGGCUUCUUAGCUUUCUUAUCCUGCCAUGCCACACAAAGAGCACCUAUAUUGCCCACACACUUGUAAAAUUGAGUUUCUCUGUGACGCAGCUUUUGCUUCUUGAGCUCGGCAGGGAAAUUUUUCCUAGCCAAGUUGACUGUUCCAGUAUAAUAAAAUCUUUUCUGAGUUAGAUAUUCCAAGAGAUCUGUUGAUGUAUAAUAUCUAUCAGCAAAAAUAUGAUGCCCACUUUGAAGUGGUUGUAGAAGAGUAUCAAAUAUUUUGACUGCAUGGCUGGUAAUACUGUUUGAUGAGUCUGAGUAAGAAGGGUCACUUCCAUAUUUAGUGAUAAGAUUUAUUACAUAACCUGUACUGCUAUCACACAGGCCAUAAUUUUGUAUGUGGUGCUUUUCAGGCUUACUAGGGUUGUACUGUAAUGGUCCAAACCUGCCUUUAAAUCCUAUCACCAUCUCAUCAAUAGCAACCUCCUCAUAAGGAUAAAAUGCCUUUUGAAAAUUUGAACACAUCAUCUUUACGAAGGGUUCAACUUUAUCCUUACCGACCGAGACCGCUUCACCUACAUGCAUCAUGCUAAAGAACAAGAGCUCAAAUCUAGCUCUUGUAAACAUGGUAUUAAACCAUGAUAAUAUAUGUCUUAUUAGACCAAAUGUCCCUGACAGACUUUUUGUUUUGUAGACCUAUCGAAAUAAAAACUGCGAGAAACUUGUACAUUUCUGCAACAUUUGUGUCUGUCCAAUUAUUAAAAGUGGACCUGACAGUAGGAGGAUUGUGUUUUUGAAUCACAAUUUUAGCAUAAUCAUUUAUGCUAUCAACUAAAAAUGUCAUGAUACAACCAUCUACAAGCCUGGUAAAAACAUCAAAUGGUGUAGAAUCUCUUGUCAAAUCUAACUCAGAAUUGACUCCACUUUUAGAAGGCUGGGACAUUCUAAAUGUAUUGGCAGUACUGACAGGACAAUUGUCAGCAACCCUCUCCCAUUACCACCCAUCAUUAUUACCACUAGUUCUAGGUCUAAAAUCAUCUGGUUCUGGAAUUGUAGCAAUAAUACCAGUCCCAUCAUUGUUAGUUUCACUGCCACUAUCACUGUCAGAAUCUGAGUCAACCACAGUAUCAUCAUAUCUAGCUCUUUUCUUCUUCACAAUGUUAUCAUCUACACCAUGAUUUUCUGGCAAAUAUGUGGAAUCAUCUUCACUAUCACUAUCACUAGAACUUUCUAAAGCUAAAAACAAUUGAGUAGCUUGUGCUACCGCUAAUCUUUUAGGCCUACCACUAACACUACUGCAUCCAGGCAUAGCAUCCAUGUUUGUUUAUGUUUGCUAAGCAACACGCUAAUUAAAAUAUUAUUAAAACAAAAAAAAACAAAAACAAUCCAGGUUAUUGCAUAAAGACGCUUAAAAAAGGAAGGUUUCGUUUCUUUUUACUAUUUUUGUUUUUAGAAAUAACUUUAAAAACUCUAACUACAAGAAACGGACUAAUUUUAGAAGGGCCCCCCCCCCACCCCAAAAGCCAGUGUACUGGCAAAACAGGCUGAAAGAGUUAAGAUUUCAACUUCACUGAACCCAGCUUUCUACAAGAUCUCGUAUGGACAAAGCAUUCGACGAGAUCUCGUUUGGACCAAAAUUAAACCAGAUCUCGUAUGGACAAAGCAUUCAACGAGAUCUCCGAUGGACCGAACAUUCAAAAUUCUCGUAAGGACCAAGCAUUUAACGAGAUUUCGAAUGGACCAAGCCUUCAGCGAGAUCUCGUAUUAUUUUUUAUAAUUUAUUUUUAUUUGAGAUGUCGCGGAGAGAGUAACUGGCAAUCUUUUGCUAAGUGUAGUCUCUGAUAAAGGCUGUAAUUGUAAUUCUAUAUUUGUAAGUUAUGGAUCGUUGUUUUACGAAGCCUAUUAUUGCUAUUUUACUUUUUUAGUCUUCUGUCCUGUAGUUUUUCUAAAUUUAGUGAUUUUACAGAUGGUGUUGGUUAAUGUAGUGAAAUGGGAAUAAUCGUUUGCUGUACCCCAUGACUCUAUUUUGGUCUGUACUAGUUUCUAUAAAAGUUUUUUUUCUUGUAAUAGUUUUAUUCCAAACAGAGGACGCAUAUUCUAACAUUGGUCUAACCAGGUUGAAUAGCAUUUAGUUUUAUGUUUUAUGAUUAAUUUGGCAAAAAAAAAAUCUUUUGAUUAAAAAAAAAGCCUAAUGCUU
Molecule: long non-coding RNA, 5033 nt
Organism: Biomphalaria glabrata
Lineage: Eukaryota; Metazoa; Mollusca; Gastropoda; Planorbidae
Exons: 6
Source: RefSeq, a predicted model, not a curated record